This 272-nucleotide unclassified non-coding RNA is filed under the name Tremellodendropsidales sp. Its description in RNAcentral is "partial contains small subunit ribosomal RNA, internal transcribed spacer 1, and 5.8S ribosomal RNA". The stretch from base 1 to 46 matches the Rfam family "Eukaryotic small subunit ribosomal RNA", at positions 1786 to 1831 of the family's 1831-position model. Lineage: Eukaryota; Fungi; Basidiomycota; Agaricomycetes; Tremellodendropsidales. The record is from RNAcentral.
AAGUCGUAACAAGGUUUCCGUAGGUGAACCUGCGGAAGGAUCAUUAACGAAUUAUUGAGGCUAGUGCUGGUUCUUACAAGUGCACACACCUCUUCAUUCAUUCACACCUGUGCACCUUUAGAGACGCUAUUACCCCCGUAUACGAUUAAUCCUGGGUCUCGGCCUAGGGGUUAGGGUUUAGCGGCUAUUAUACACACUUUAAACAUUCAGAAUGUAAUCGCAGCAAUGCAAAAAAAAAAAUAUAACUUUCAACAACGGAUCUCUUGGUUCUC